RNAcentral lists this ribosomal RNA (431 nucleotides) under uncultured bacterium. Its description in RNAcentral is "bacterial SSU rRNA". It matches the Rfam family "Bacterial small subunit ribosomal RNA", at positions 354 to 776 of the family's 1533-position model. The record is from RNAcentral.
GUCGGGAAUCUUGCACAAUGGGCGAAAGCCUGAUGCAGCAACGCCGCGUGAGGGAUGAAGGCCCUCGGGUCGUAAACCUCUGUCGGAAGGGAAGAACGUAUUUCGGGCCAAUACCCCGGGAUACUGACGGUACCUUCAAAGGAAGCGCCGGCUAACUCCGUGCCAGCAGCCGCGGUAAUACGGAGGGCGCGAGCGUUAUUCGGAAUUAUUGGGCGUAAAGCGCGUGUAGGCGGCUGGGAAAGUCGGGUGUGAAAGCCCGGGGCUCAACCCCGGAAUUGCAUUCGAAACUACCCAGCUAGAGUCUCGGAGAGGAGGGCGGAAUUCCCGGUGUAGAGGUGAAAUUCGUAGAUAUCGGGAGGAACACCAGUGGCGAAGGCGGCCCUCUGGACGAUGACUGACGCUGAGACGCGAAAGCGUGGGGAGCAAACAGG